CAUAUUUGGUCCCUCAGUGUCACUUUUGGGGCCAAUUUUGGGGCCAAUUUCCCCAUAUGGGGCCGGGGCGGGAUCCGGCCGGGAGCCAAUCAGGAGCUGCCCUGGGCCGGGCUGCGAUCCAGGAGGGAGCCAAUCACGUGUUGCCUUGGGACAGGCUGGGAGCCAAUCAGGAGGUGCCCCGGGGCUGGCUAGCGGUCCAGCAGGGGGCCAAUCGGGAAGGACUGCGGGGUGUCGGGUGAUCUGGUAGGGAGCCAAUCACGUGUGGUCUGGGGACAGGCUGGGAGCCAAUCACGUGCCGCCUUGGGACAGGCCAGGGGAACCGGCCGGGAGCCAAUCAGAAGCAGCAGGAUUCAGUAGGGAGCCAAUCAACUGGGAGCGGUUCUUCCGGUGGGUGGGAUCCAGACAGGAGCCAAUCAGGAGUUGCUGUAGGGGAAAGGGGGGGGCUUGGAAUCCAGUCGCGAGCCAAUCAGGAGUGGCUGUGGAUUGGCCAAUCAGAAGCGGCCUUGGCUUGGGUGGAAUCUGGUCUGGAGCCAAUCAGGAGUUGCUAUGAGCUGGGGCGGGCUGCAGGGACUGACCAAUCAGAAGCGGUCUUGGCUUGGGUGGAAUCGAGUCCAGAGCCAAUCAGGAGUGGCUGUGGGACGGAACGGGCUGCAAGGACUGACCAAUCAGAAGCGGUCUUGGCUUGGGCGGGAUCCAGCCCGAAGCCAAUCACGAGAGGGGGGGCAGCAGCAAGAGAGCCAAUCAGCAGCGCCGUGGGCGGGGGGAUCCGGUCUCCGUCCAAUAGGAAGCGACCGCAGCC
RNAcentral lists this long non-coding RNA (799 nucleotides) under Chrysolophus pictus (golden pheasant). Its description in RNAcentral is "lncRNA (ENSCPIG00010006852.1)". The record is from RNAcentral. Lineage: Eukaryota; Metazoa; Chordata; Aves; Galliformes; Phasianidae.